Molecule: transfer RNA, 72 nt
Filed under: Ornithorhynchus anatinus (platypus)
Lineage: Eukaryota; Metazoa; Chordata; Mammalia; Monotremata; Ornithorhynchidae
Rfam family: tRNA
About the family: Transfer RNA (tRNA) molecules are approximately 80 nucleotides in length.
Source: Rfam by way of RNAcentral
AGCAGUGUGGCUUAGUGGAAAGAGCACUGGCUUGGGAGUCAGAGGUUGUGGGUUCUAAUCCUGCCUUCUCCA